RNAcentral lists this ribosomal RNA (462 nucleotides) under uncultured bacterium. RNAcentral describes it as "bacterial SSU rRNA". It matches the Rfam family "Bacterial small subunit ribosomal RNA", at positions 355 to 825 of the family's 1533-position model. The record is from RNAcentral.
UAAGGAAUAUUGCGCAAUGGGCGACAGCCUGACGCAGCGACGCCGCGUGGGGGAUGAAGGUCUUCGGAUUGUAAACCCCUUUCGGCAGGGAAGAUGGAACGGGUAACCGUUCGGACGGUACCUGCAGAAGCAGCCACGGCUAACUUCGUGCCAGCAGCCGCGGUAAUACGAAGGUGGCAAGCGUUGUUCGGAUUUACUGGGCGUACAGGGAGCGUAGGCGGUUGGGUAAGCCCUCCGUGAAAUCUCCGGGCCUGACCCGGAAAGUGCGGAGGGGACUGCUCGGCUAGAGGAUGGGAGAGGAGCGCGGAAUUCCCGGUGUAGCGGUGAAAUGCGUAGAGAUCGGGAGGAAGGCCGGUGGCGAAGGCGGCGCUCUGGAACAUUUCUGACGCUGAGGCUCGAAAGCGUGGGGAGCAAACAGGAUUAGAUACCCAUGUAGUCCCUGAGCGGGCUGGCAAGGCGCAU